UGGGGAAUAUUGCACAAUGGGCGCAAGCCUGAUGCAGCCAUGCCGCGUGUGUGAAGAAGGCCUUCGGGUUGUAAAGCACUUUCAGCGAGGAGGAAGGUGGUGAACUUAAUACGUUCAUCAAUUGACGUUACUCGCAGAAGAAGCACCGGCUAACUCCGUGCCAGCAGCCGCGGUAAUACGGAGGGUGCAAGCGUUAAUCGGAAUUACUGGGCGUAAAGCGCACGCAGGCGGUUUGUUAAGUCAGAUGUGAAAUCCCCGGGCUCAACCUGGGAACUGCAUUUGAAACUGGCAAGCUAGAGUCUCGUAGAGGGGGGCUAGAAUUCCAGGUGUAGCGGUGAAAUGCGUAGAGAUCUGGAGGAAUACCGGUGGCGAAGGCGGCCCCCCUGGACGAAGACUGACGCUCAGGUGCGAAAGCGUGGGG
Molecule: ribosomal RNA, 421 nt
Filed under: uncultured bacterium
Lineage: Bacteria
Description: partial 16S ribosomal RNA
Rfam family: Bacterial small subunit ribosomal RNA
Source: RNAcentral